Molecule: non-coding RNA, 399 nt
Organism: Schizosaccharomyces pombe (fission yeast)
Lineage: Eukaryota; Fungi; Ascomycota; Schizosaccharomycetes; Schizosaccharomycetales; Schizosaccharomycetaceae
Source: the annotation of a GenBank genome assembly
AAAAAUUUCUCCAUAUCCAAACAAGGAUUCGUUUUACUCUCUAACCAUACUUUUAAAACUUGAUCCAGAUAUUCUGUUAGAACGCUUUCAAUCACCGAAAUGGGCAAGUACCUUCUACAAAGGCAACGGAAGCAUGUAAGGAUUCGGUCGAGUUCAGGACUUAAAAUAGGACUUUCUAAGACACUCUGUUCGUAAACAAGCCAAAAGUCACUUAGUUGGUCCGUUAAGUCGUGUAGACUGCAUAUGUUUUUUAAAUCAAUCUUUAAGAGAUUUUGGCGAAUAGUGGUAUAGAAAUGAAUUCUCAACUUGUCAAUAAAAUCCAAUACUGGUGUUCCCUGUGUGACUGAGCUCAAUUGAUCGAUCAACAACGAACGGCCAGUAAAGGUGGACAGAUCAGUA